RNAcentral lists this ribosomal RNA (508 nucleotides) under uncultured bacterium. RNAcentral describes it as "partial 16S ribosomal RNA". It matches the Rfam family "Bacterial small subunit ribosomal RNA", at positions 28 to 523 of the family's 1533-position model. The record is from RNAcentral.
GAUGAACGCUAGCUACAGGCUUAACACAUGCAAGUCGAGGGGAAACGACAUCGAAAGCUUGCUUUUGAUGGGCGUCGACCGGCGCACGGGUGAGUAACGCGUAUCCAACCUGCCCACCACUUGGGGAUAACCUUGCGAGAGUAAGACUAAUACCCAAUGAUAUCUCUAGAAGACAUCUGAAAGAGAUUAAAGAUUUAUCGGUGAUGGAUGGGGAUGCGUCUGAUUAGCUUGUUGGCGGGGUAACGGCCCACCAAGGCGACGAUCAGUAGGGGUUCUGAGAGGAAGGUCCCCCACAUUGGAACUGAGACACGGUCCAAACUCCUACGGGAGGCAGCAGUGAGGAAUAUUGGUCAAUGGGCGAGAGCCUGAACCAGCCAAGUAGCGUGCAGGAUGACGGCCCUAUGGGUUGUAAACUGCUUUUAUAAGGGAAUAAAGUGAGUCUCGUGAGACUUUUUGCAUAUACCUUAUGAAUAAGGACCGGCUAAUUCCGUGCCAGCCGCCGCAGUAA